This 395-nucleotide ribosomal RNA is filed under the name Meyerozyma caribbica. RNAcentral's name for it is "partial 28S ribosomal RNA". It matches the Rfam family "Eukaryotic large subunit ribosomal RNA", at positions 235 to 648 of the family's 3401-position model. The record is from RNAcentral. Lineage: Eukaryota; Fungi; Ascomycota; Pichiomycetes; Serinales; Debaryomycetaceae.
CCCAAUCCUAUGUAAGGUGCUUUCGAAGAGUCGAGUUGUUUGGGAAUGCAGCUCUAAGUGGGUGGUAAAUUCCAUCUAAAGCUAAAUAUUGGCGAGAGACCGAUAGCGAACAAGUACAGUGAUGGAAAGAUGAAAAGAACUUUGAAAAGAGAGUGAAAAAGUACGUGAAAUUGUUGAAAGGGAAGGGUUUGAGAUCAGACUCGAUAUUUUGUGAGCCUUGCCUUCGUGGCGGGGUGACCCGCAGCUUAUCGGGCCAGCAUCGGUUUGGGCGGUAGGAUAAUGGCGUAGGAAUGUGACUUUGCUUCGGUGAAGUGUUAUAGCCUGCGUUGAUGCUGCCUGCCUAGACCGAGGACUGCGAUUUUAUCAAGGAUGCUGGCAUAAUGAUCCCAAACCGC